Molecule: unclassified non-coding RNA, 345 nt
Filed under: soil metagenome
Description: partial contains 5.8S ribosomal RNA, internal transcribed spacer 2, and large subunit ribosomal RNA
Rfam family: 5.8S ribosomal RNA (bases 1-120)
Source: RNAcentral
GAUGAAGAACGCAGCGAAAUGCGAUACGUAAUGUGAAUUGCAGAAUUCAGUGAAUCAUCGAGUCUUUGAACGCACAUUGCGCCCCCUGGUAUUCCGGGGGGCAUGCCUGUCCGAGCGUCAUUGCUGCCCUCAAGCACGGCUUGUGUCUUGGGCCUCCGUCCUCCUCCCGGGGGACGGGCCCGAAAGGCAGCGGCGGCACCGCGUCCGGUCCUCGAGCGUAUGGGGCUUCGUCACCCGCUCUUGUAGGCCCGGCCGGCGCUUGCCGACACAUCAAUCUUUUUUCCAGGUUGACCUCGGAUCAGGUAGGGAUACCCACUGAACUUAAGCAUAUCAAUAAGCGGAGGA